RNAcentral lists this ribosomal RNA (427 nucleotides) under uncultured Aquabacterium sp. Its description in RNAcentral is "bacterial SSU rRNA". It matches the Rfam family "Bacterial small subunit ribosomal RNA", at positions 356 to 774 of the family's 1533-position model. The record is from RNAcentral. Lineage: Bacteria; Pseudomonadati; Pseudomonadota; Betaproteobacteria; Burkholderiales; Sphaerotilaceae.
GGGGAAUUUUGGACAAUGGGCGCAAGCCUGCUCCAGCAAUGCCGCGUGCAGGAAGAAGGCCUUCGGGUUGUAAACUGCUUUUGUCAGGGAAGAAAUAUUCUGGGUUAUGACAUCGGGCGGAUGACGGUACCUGAAGAAUAAGCACCGGCUAACUACGGUGCCAGCAGCCGCGGUAAUACGUAGGGUGCGACGUGUAAUCGGAAUUACUGGGCGUAAAGCGCGCGCAGGCGGCUUUGCAAGACAGAGGUGAAAUCCCCGGGCUCAACCUGGGAACUGCCUUUGUGACUGCAAGGCUAGAGUACGGCAGAGGGGGAUGGAAUUCCGCGUGUAGCAGUGAAAUGCGUAGAUAUGCGGAGGAACACCAAUGGCGAAGACAAUCCCCUGGGCCUGUACUGACGCUCAUGCACGAAAGCGUGGGGAGCAAACA